UACGGAGGAUGCGAGCGUUAUCCGGAUUUAUUGGGUUUAAAGGGUGCGUAGGCGGUCUCUUAAGUCAGCGGUCAAAGCCCGGGGCUCAACCCCGGCCCGCCGUUGAAACUGGCGCGCUGGAGUUGGAGAGAAGUACGCGGAAUUCGUGGUGUAGCGGUGAAAUGCAUAGAUAUCGCGCAGAACCCCGAUUGCGAAGGCAGCCUGCCGGCUCCACACUGACGCUGAGGCACGAAAGCGUGGGUAUCGAA
Molecule: ribosomal RNA, 248 nt
Filed under: uncultured Muribaculaceae bacterium
Lineage: Bacteria; Pseudomonadati; Bacteroidota; Bacteroidia; Bacteroidales; Muribaculaceae
Description: partial 16S ribosomal RNA
Rfam family: Bacterial small subunit ribosomal RNA
Source: RNAcentral